UCACUCUGGCUUCUCUUCAACGUAUGAUUCUUUCGCCUUUUACUAAAGAAUUCCGUGGAGAGGAGCAGUUGAAUGAGUCUUGGACAUUUUUCGAUAUCCGACUUUGGUCGGUUU
Molecule: non-coding RNA, 114 nt
Organism: Ciona savignyi (Pacific transparent sea squirt)
Lineage: Eukaryota; Metazoa; Chordata; Ascidiacea; Phlebobranchia; Cionidae
Source: Rfam